GAGGGGCCUUCGAGUGUAUCUUGGGGGAAAGAGUUGCAAGCAAACCAUGCACCACGGAGUGGAUAGCCUCUUGCACUCCGGGAGAGGUAGACUCUGAGAGUUCAGCAACCUUUUCUGGUGUUAGUGAUCUUAGAUAGUCCAGCAAAUCAUUUUUUUCUUCUCCAACAAACUGCUGCAUUUGCAGAGCAGAAUUUUUCCUCCUAAGAUCAUGCAAUUCCUUUUUCAUGGCAUCCAAUCGAGA
RNAcentral lists this unclassified non-coding RNA (241 nucleotides) under Hevea brasiliensis (rubber tree). The record is from RNAcentral. Lineage: Eukaryota; Viridiplantae; Streptophyta; Magnoliopsida; Malpighiales; Euphorbiaceae.